AUGCCCUUGAGAGACCAGCUGAAACAGCUAGUCGAGCUGCACAAGGCAGCCGAACUGGCGAUUGAGGACUUCAUAAUCCGGUUAUGGCAUGCCGAGCCCAUGCCCAGUAGCUACUUCGGACUCGUGAAGUGGCUUGUGAGUGCCUGCCCACGACUUGAAGUCAUAAAGCAGUCGGUUUGCAUUGAAGGUGCGCGGAUGGCCUUUCCCCGUGCAAAGAUGCAUUGGGCGAAGAUGGACGCCACGACGCUGAUGACCGAGGGGCUGCCGAAGGGCAAGGAGCACCGCCGACCCAAACUAUACUAUGACAGUGUCCUGGAGGGAUCCCGCCUUUUGGCGGAGCAAUGUACAAAGGAUGUAAUCUUUGAAUGA
This 369-nucleotide ribosomal RNA is filed under the name Triticum aestivum (bread wheat). RNAcentral describes it as "partial small subunit ribosomal RNA". The record is from RNAcentral. Lineage: Eukaryota; Viridiplantae; Streptophyta; Magnoliopsida; Poales; Poaceae.